Molecule: ribosomal RNA, 343 nt
Filed under: uncultured Anoxybacillus sp.
Lineage: Bacteria; Bacillati; Bacillota; Bacilli; Caryophanales; Anoxybacillaceae
Description: bacterial SSU rRNA
Rfam family: Bacterial small subunit ribosomal RNA
Source: RNAcentral
UGGUGCAUGGUUGUCGGUCAGCUCGUGUCGUGAGAUGUUGGGUUAAGUCCCGCAACGAGCGCAACCCUCGACCUUAGUUGCCAGCAUUCAGUUGGGCACUCUAAGGUGACUGCCGGCUAAAAGUCGGAGGAAGGUGGGGAUGACGUCAAAUCAUCAUGCCCCUUAUGACCUGGGCUACACACGUGCUACAAUGGGCGGUACAAAGGGUCGCGAACCCGCGAGGGGGAGCCAAUCCCAAAAAGCCGCUCUCAGUUCGGAUUGCAGGCUGCAACUCGCCUGCAUGAAGCCGGAAUCGCUAGUAAUCGCGGAUCAGCAUGCCGCGGUGAAUACGUUCCAGGGCCUU